GUGUGUGUGUGUGUGUGUGUUUGUGUGUGUGUGUGUGUGUGUGUGCUUGUUUUCAUGAUUUAUGAGGACACAAAUUUGUAUAAUGACAUGGUUACACUGGUAUUAUGACGUAAACAUGAAAUAUGAGGACAUUUCAUGAGUCCUUAUAUUUAAAAUAGCUUUAAAAACAUACUAAACAAUGUUUUAUUAAAAAUGUAAAAAUGCAGAAUGUUUUCUGUGAUGGGUAGGUUUAGGGGUAGGGGUAGUGUAGGGGGAUAAAAUGUACAGUUUGUACAGUUGUACAGUAUAAAAACCAUUAUGCCUAUGGAAUGUCCUCACAAAGAUAGCAAAACAAACCUGUGUGUGUGUGUGUGAAAUACAAUAGGAUAAUCUUUGAAGAAAGCUUCAAAAAACACCAUAAAACACUAUAAAAACACCAGCUGAACACCAAGUAGUCCACAUGACUUAUGUGCUAUGUUACGGGUCAAAAGAUAAUGAUGAUGAUAAUGUGAGCAACAAAUUGAAAUUUUGUUUAUUAUUCACUGAAAAUCUUAUUAAACUUUUUUUUUUUUUUUUUUUUUUUUUAAUCAGGAUGUUGGAGGUUCUUGUUUGAUGAGAAUCUGUGAGUGGGAUACGGAUCAAUGAAGCCCAUGCAGAUCGGAUCAAUUCCAAUUAGCUAUCCUGUAUUGCAAGGCCACUAAGCAGCUGGACAUUUUAAUCACAUAUCUCAAAGUGGCCGACCUGAAAGUGACCUCUAAAAAAAGAGUGAUGGACGUGGGGAACAGCGGGAAGCCUUCUGCCAGUCCACUCAACCUUGGCACAAUAAUUUCUCUGUCUCACAGACAGAUCCAGACUACUCAAUUUACAUGUUUUUAAUAUUUAGUGAGAGUUUACAGAGACGUUGUGCUGGUGGUUGCUGCAGCUUUUAUAACAUAACAUGUACAGCGAUGCUCUUAGCAGAUGCAUUCCUAUCAAAACGUUUUUACAAGAAAGUGCCUCUGUCAUGUUUGUGAAUAUUAUGUGUGUUGUGUUUUGGAAACACUCUGUAGGUCCAGUACUAAGAGUAAAAUGUCCAUGCUUAUUUAGCUGAUAUACAAUAGACAUAAUAAUAAUGACAUUUGCACUUGCUUACAUUUUAAGAGACAAUGGUAUUUGAAUUUAAGUGUCAAGUUUUCCAUCUUAUGUUAUUUAGCAUUUAUUUAUUGGUUGUGACUAAUUUAUAUACAGAAUACAGAUACUGAAUAUUAAUUAUUUGCAAUUUAUUGUGUUUUUUAAUUAUUUCUGUAUCAUAUCUUAAUGGAAAUGUCAUUUAUAUGAAGCAAAAGAAGAUUGAAACAACAAUUGAAACUGCACUGCACUUCAACAGCUUCUGCUUACACAUCUAAAGGCUGCUUAUUGAAGGUAAACCUUUCUUUUUCUUUCUUUAUUCUUCCUUCCUUCCUUUCUUCUAUCCCUAUAAUUUCCCUCUUUAACCCCUCGUUGUUCUUUUACCUCAUCUCGUGUUUUCCUCUCUUUCUGUUAUCACUGCCUAAUCAGGUUGUUCCGAUACUGACCUUUCUGCUGCCACAGUCCACAGCACAAUCAUCAAUGGACACGAAUCAGUAAUUAAAGCACAUACACACAAACGGAAACACCAUCAUUAAAUGCUUAUUAAACUUUUAUGUGCUACAUUCAUGAUGUGAAAGGAAGACAAGAAAUGAAGAGUACUGCUUACCACCAUGCGCACACACACACACACACACACACACACACACACCAAGUCAGAGUGGGAGGUGAAUGACUCAACAUCAUAUCAGACAGCUGUGACUUCAGAGGUCUGUAGUCAUGUUGCUUUACUUGGCAGGGAGGUGAUUUGUCAGCCCUCAAUUAUUACACACAAUAAAGGCGAGCUUAUUACCAUCCAUCUUCUCAUCCCUUCACCUUUAAGCUGCGGAGACCAGAAUAGAUGUAAAUGGGGUUUAGAAGUCUGAGAGCUCUAAAAACGCUUGUAUUUUGCAUUCUUAUAUUAUAUAUUUUUACAUUUUAAAUUAAAGUUACCAAUUACCAUGAA
Molecule: long non-coding RNA, 2029 nt
Organism: Ctenopharyngodon idella (grass carp)
Lineage: Eukaryota; Metazoa; Chordata; Actinopteri; Cypriniformes; Xenocyprididae
Exons: 2
Source: RefSeq, a predicted model, not a curated record